This 515-nucleotide ribosomal RNA is filed under the name uncultured bacterium. RNAcentral describes it as "partial 16S ribosomal RNA". It matches the Rfam family "Bacterial small subunit ribosomal RNA", at positions 28 to 523 of the family's 1533-position model. The record is from RNAcentral.
GAUGAACGCUGGCGGCGUGCCUAAUACAUGCAAGUCGAGCGAAUGGAUUAAGAGCUUGCUCUUAUGAAGUUAGCGGCGGACGGGUGAGUAACACGUGGGUAACCUGCCCAUAAGACUGGGAUAACUCCGGGAAACCGGGGCUAAUACCGGAUAACAUUUUGAACCGCAUGGUUCGAAAUUGAAAGGCGGCUUCGGCUGUCACUUAUGGAUGGACCCGCGUCGCAUUAGCUAGUUGGUGAGGUAACGGCUCACCAAGGCAACGAUGCGUAGCCGACCUUGGAGGGUGAUCGGCCAAACUGGGACGGAGACACGGCCCAGACUCCUACGGGAGGCAGCAGUAGGGAAUCUUCCGCAAUGGACGAAAGUCUGACGGAGCAACGCCGCGUGAGUGAUGAAGGCUUUCGGGUCGUAAAACUCUGUUGUUAGGGAAGAACAAGUGCUAGCUGAAUAAGCUGGCACCUUGACGGUACCUAACCAGAAAGCCACGGCUAACUACGUGCCAGCCGCCGCGGUAA